RNAcentral lists this long non-coding RNA (324 nucleotides) under Camelus dromedarius (Arabian camel). RNAcentral's name for it is "lncRNA (ENSCDRG00005002195.1)". The record is from RNAcentral. Lineage: Eukaryota; Metazoa; Chordata; Mammalia; Artiodactyla; Camelidae.
UUUUACUUUUUAAAACAUUGUCUGUCUCUUAGCUUCCCAGUCCUUUGAUGGAGCUGUUCUUAUCACUGUGAGCCAGAAAGCAGUCUCACUGUAGCUCUAUGAGGAGUGGUGAUGGAUCACUGGUGUUUGGCUAAACUAUGCAAAAGGGAAGUAUCUUGGUGGCAAACAAGGGAGGCACAUCAGGUGUGGGAACUCGAGCUCUGUAAAGGAUGAAAUAGAAAGAGAGAACUAGGUAAGUAUUCUUUACAACUUUUUCCCAUCUCCCCACCCCCUCUGUUAUAAAAAAGGAAAGAGUAUUGAAAUGGUAGCUCUGCAGUUCAAAAC